This is a long non-coding RNA of Strongylocentrotus purpuratus (purple sea urchin), 614 nucleotides long. RefSeq lists it as uncharacterized. Lineage: Eukaryota; Metazoa; Echinodermata; Echinoidea; Camarodonta; Strongylocentrotidae. The transcript is spliced from 4 exons. The record is from RefSeq and is a predicted model, not a curated record.
GACGUUUAAAUAUAAUUACUAGACGGAAAGCAGCACGCGCGGAAACCAUGCAGACGAAUGGGAUUAGGCUCCGCCUCUUUUGGAUCAUUUGAAGACAAAAUGGCACCCGAGGCGGCUUUUUGAUUGGAUAUGAGCCUCAUGAAUAUGUAUUUUAUCGAUAGUAUCGUUUAAGAAACCGGAUGAUAUAUUUGACCUCAUGCGCGUCACUUUAAUUAUGCAGAUUUAUGCACGACGCAGGCUACUCGCACAAACUGAGAAGAUUUUAGUUCAUUGAGAAUGGAUGGAAACUGAUGAAGAGCUGGAAGGAGUUAAAUGAUGAGUAGACAUUACAACAUUUCUUAUAUUUGCAAGAAGAAGCUGAAAGUCCCAUGCAGGAUGAUGCUUCUCUACAGUGGAUGAUGAAAGCAUGCUGAUUACAAACCCAGGAGAGGAAUAAAGAACACAUAUUGACAGAAUCAUAUCUAGAGAUGUGGGCCUACUGCACUUCAUACAAGCAAGUGUGCUAAUAUACCAUACUUGGGUUAUCAUCACAGCCCUUUCUUCUGAAAACUAGCCUACAACUUCAUCGAUGAAUGCAGAAGACAUCUACAUGGGACUACGUCUUAAAGAUGCCC